GGAUAACUUACCCUUAGGACUGGGAUAACUCUGGGAAACUGGGGAUAAUACUGGAUAUUAGGCUAUGCCUGGAAUGGUUUGCCUUUGAAAUGUUUUUUCGCCUAAGGAUAGGUCUGCGGCUGAUUAGGCCGUUGGUGGGGUAAUGGCCCACCAAGCCGAUGAUCGGUACGGGUUGUGAGAGCAAGGGCCCGGAGAUGGAACCUGAGACAAGGUUCCAGACCCUACGGGGUGCAGCAGGCGCGAAACCUCCGCAAUGUACGAAAGUGCGACGGGGGGAUCCCAAGUGUUAUGCUUUUUUGUAUGACUUUUCAUUAGUGUAAAAAGCUUUUAGAAUAAGAGCUGGGCAAGACCGGUGCCAGCCGCCGCGGUAACACCGGCAGCUCGAGUGGUAGCUGUUUUUAUUGGGCCUAAAGCGUUCGUAGCCGGUUUGAUAAGUCUUUGGUGAAAGCUUGUAGCUUAACUAUAAGAAUUGCUGGAGAUACUAUUAGACUUGAAGUCGGGAGAGGUUAGAGGUACUACCGGGGUAGGGGUGAAAUCCUAUAAUCCUGGGAGGACCACCUGUGGCGAAGGCGUCUAACUGGAACGAUCUUGACGGUGAGUAACGAAAGCCAGGGGCGCGAACCGGAUUAGAUACCCGGGUAGUCCUGGCCGUAAACGAUGUGGACUUGGUGUUGGAAUGGCUUUGAGUUGUUCCGGU
RNAcentral lists this ribosomal RNA (697 nucleotides) under uncultured archaeon. Its description in RNAcentral is "bacterial SSU rRNA". It matches the Rfam family "Archaeal small subunit ribosomal RNA", at positions 102 to 799 of the family's 1478-position model. The record is from RNAcentral.